Molecule: long non-coding RNA, 1399 nt
Organism: Rattus norvegicus (Norway rat)
Lineage: Eukaryota; Metazoa; Chordata; Mammalia; Rodentia; Muridae
Gene: Ctcfl2
Product: CCCTC-binding factor like 2
Exons: 3
Source: RefSeq, marked validated
GGCGGGGGCGGCGAGCGCGCGUUCCCCCGCCCGCUCGGCGUCGAGGCGCGAGCAGCUCAGCCAGCCUUGCAGAGGGAGCUCUCGGCAGCUCAGGGGUCCCUCUGCUCCCAGCCACAGCAGCGCCGCCUGCGACACUCGGCGGCGACGGAGACCGGCAGCGGCGAUGAUCGGGCUACGAGAAACUAGAGAGCACCCCAACUGCUGGAAAAAGCACGCAGGGCGACCGGUGACCCUAUGGAGGCCUCCAGCAGAAGGUAUGACUCAGAUUAAGCUUUGAAUUCAUGAGAAAGAAGAGUGUGAAACAAGAAGAAAAGAUAAGGUUGGAAGAGGGAAAGAGGAAAGGAGGGGAAUGGAAGGAAAACCCUGCAGCCACCAACACAAUAAACUGUAUCCUGAACCGCCUCAGCCUAGCCCAUCUUUUGCAGUGCGCACAUGUCAAUUUCCUCCGUGCAGAAUUCUGAAGAUGAUGGCCAGGGCAUGGCUGUGACCUAGGUGGCCUGAAAUGAUGAGACCCGUGUUAUAGGUCUUGGAAACCCCUUUCCAUUUGCCCCUUCUAGGCACAGACUUUCUUUGCCUUGAUACCUGUGACUCUUGAUAAAUCAUGAAUCUCCCACUAACUGGGGCAGCAAGCUCCCAAUGGUCCUGAAUCUGAGUAGGGGAAGAAAUGUCUCCCAAGCAGGGUAAGAAGUAAAGUGUUCUGGGACAGCUAGCUGAGCCAUGCCUUCCACCAUCUGACAGACAAAGACCUGCCAGUCUGACUUCAGGUUAUAAAUUGAGAAGAAACAUCAAGUAUUUGUUUGUCCUGUGGUUAAUCCGAGCUUCGCCAUGUCCAGAAGUCUUGAAGGGCAGAGCCUUGAGGAUCUUUCCCUGACCCUGACAGAUCCUCACCUGACUAUACUCAAAAAGUGCUCCAAAUUUCACUCUAUCCACCCCAUACUCAACGUUUCUCAGCUGGGACAGAAGCCUAGGUAUGGCCAUAGGGAUCUUGUAGAAGACCUGUUUUGGAGACCAAGAUUUUCAGUGACAGCCAGAACUGACCUGACUGGAAUAAUGACAUUUUCCCAUCUGUCCUAUGGUGUUGUUCUGGUCCAGUCACUGCCUUCACUUUCCUAAGACUUGCCCAGCCAGGGUUUGAUUCUACUUUCUCACCACUCUGAACAUUCCUAUUCCACCAGUGGGCCUUUUCUGUGACUUCAGGCCUGCAGGGACUCUACUGGUGGUUCUGGGACUGCCUCUGAACUAACCAGCUAUGGGCGUUGGUGUGGUCUGUCACCUAAUUGUUUUACCCCUGCUGAUCAUCCAAAAGCUGAACCCCUAUCCUGCCCUGCUGUGCCAGUGUGUAAGGGCUUCUGUCGGCCCUACCCCCACCAGACUAUAGUGAACUGCCAACAUCCUCUCA